Molecule: ribosomal RNA, 162 nt
Filed under: Iris pseudacorus
Lineage: Eukaryota; Viridiplantae; Streptophyta; Magnoliopsida; Asparagales; Iridaceae
Description: 5.8S ribosomal RNA
Rfam family: 5.8S ribosomal RNA
About the family: 5.8S ribosomal RNA (5.8S rRNA) is a component of the large subunit of the eukaryotic ribosome.
Source: RNAcentral
CUAAACGACUCUCGGCAACGGAUAUCUCGGCUCUCGCAUCGAUGAAGAACGUAGCGAAAUGCGAUACUUGGUGUGAGUUGCAGAAUCCCGUGAACCAUCGAGUCUUUGAACGCAAGUUGCGCCCGAGGCCUCCUGGUCGAGGGCACGUCUGCCUGGGUGUCA